RNAcentral lists this ribosomal RNA (659 nucleotides) under Brevundimonas sp. Its description in RNAcentral is "bacterial SSU rRNA". It matches the Rfam family "Bacterial small subunit ribosomal RNA", at positions 29 to 734 of the family's 1533-position model. The record is from RNAcentral. Lineage: Bacteria; Pseudomonadati; Pseudomonadota; Alphaproteobacteria; Caulobacterales; Caulobacteraceae.
GCGAACGCUGGCGGCAGGCCUAACACAUGCAAGUCGAACGGACCCUUCGGGGUUAGUGGCGGACGGGUGAGUAACACGUGGGAACGUGCCUUUAGGUUCGGAAUAGCUCCUGGAAACGGGUGGUAAUGCCGAAUGUGCCCUUCGGGGGAAAGAUUUAUCGCCUUUAGAGCGGCCCGCGUCUGAUUAGCUAGUUGGUGAGGUAAUGGCUCACCAAGGCGACGAUCAGUAGCUGGUCUGAGAGGAUGACCAGCCACAUUGGGACUGAGACACGGCCCAAACUCCUACGGGAGGCAGCAGUGGGGAAUCUUGCGCAAUGGGCGAAAGCCUGACGCAGCCAUGCCGCGUGAAUGAUGAAGGUCUUAGGAUUGUAAAAUUCUUUCACCGGGGACGAUAAUGACGGUACCCGGAGAAGAAGCCCCGGCUAACUUCGUGCCAGCAGCCGCGGUAAUACGAAGGGGGCUAGCGUUGCUCGGAAUUACUGGGCGUAAAGGGCGCGUAGGCGGACAUUUAAGUCAGGGGUGAAAUCCCAGAGCUCAACUCUGGAACUGCCUUUGAUACUGGGUGUCUUGAGUGUGAGAGAGGUAUGUGGAACUCCGAGUGUAGAGGUGAAAUUCGUAGAUAUUCGGAAGAACACCAGUGGCGAAGGCGACAUACUGGCU